GACGAACGCUGGCGGCGUGCUUAACACAUGCAAGUCGAACGGAAAGGCCCUGCUUUUGUGGGGUGCUCGAGUGGCGAACGGGUGAGUAACACGUGAGCAACCUGCCCUUGACUUUGGGAUAACUUCAGGAAACUGGGGCUAAUACCGGAUAGGAGCUCCUGCUGCAUGGUGGGGGUUGGUAAGUUACGGCGGUUGGGGAUGGACUCGCGGCUUAUCAGCUUGUUGGUGGAGUAGUGGCUUACCAAGUCUUUGACGGGUAGCCGGCCUGAGAGGGUGACCGGCGACAAUAGGACUAAGAGACGGACCAGACGCCUAUGGGAGGCAGCAGUGGGGAGUAUUGCACAAUGAGCGGAAGCCUGAUGCAGCGGCGCCGCGUGCGGAAAGACGGCCUUCGGGUUGUGAACCGCUUUGGCCUGUGACGAAGAGUGAGUGACGGUAAUGGGUAAAGAAGCACCGGCUAACUACGUG
Molecule: ribosomal RNA, 468 nt
Filed under: uncultured bacterium
Lineage: Bacteria
Description: partial 16S ribosomal RNA
Rfam family: Bacterial small subunit ribosomal RNA
Source: RNAcentral